UAUUCUGCCCUACAGGGAAGGAUGAGAAGCUUCGACUAAGGUUCGACUCGAGCGAAGCGAGAGAACGUUGCCGCAGGCAACGGCCCGAAGGGCGAGGCGCUUUAGCGC
This 108-nucleotide small RNA is filed under the name Klebsiella pneumoniae. Its description in RNAcentral is "partial RtT sRNA". It matches the Rfam family "RtT RNA", at positions 1 to 106 of the family's 130-position model. From Rfam's summary of the family: This family represents a bacterial cis-regulatory element known as RtT RNA. RNAcentral also lists the same sequence under 1 other name. The record is from RNAcentral. Lineage: Bacteria; Pseudomonadati; Pseudomonadota; Gammaproteobacteria; Enterobacterales; Enterobacteriaceae.